Molecule: ribosomal RNA, 372 nt
Filed under: uncultured organism
Description: bacterial SSU rRNA
Rfam family: Bacterial small subunit ribosomal RNA
Source: RNAcentral
CAGAGGUCUCAAGCGUUGUUCGGAAUCACUGGGCGUAAAGGGUGCGCAGGCGGAACGCCAAGUCAGAUGUGAAAGACCGGGGCUCAACCCCGGAACGGCAUCCGAUACUGGCGAUCUAGAGGGCUCGAGGGGAGUGUGGAAUUCACGGUGUAGCAGUGAAAUGCGUAGAUAUCGUGAGGAACACCAGUGGCGAAGGCGACACUCUGGAGAGCAACUGACGCUGAGGCACGAAGGCCAGGGGAGCGAACGGGAUUAGAUACCCCGGUAGUCCUGGCAGUAAACGGUGUGCGUUUGGUAUGGGGGGGUUCGACCCCUUCCGUGCCGGAGCUAACGCGUUAAACGCACCGCCUGGGAAGUACGGUCGCAAGAUUA